Photinus pyralis (common eastern firefly) is the source of this 1300-nucleotide long non-coding RNA. RefSeq lists it as uncharacterized. NCBI's taxonomy places the organism in Eukaryota, Metazoa, Arthropoda, Insecta, Coleoptera, Lampyridae. The record is from RefSeq and is a predicted model, not a curated record. The transcript is spliced from 3 exons.
CACUGGGGUGGGUUUUCGGGUUUUCAAUUUGUUUGCUUCCUUUUCGAGUGUGUGUGCUGGGUUUUUCGAUCGUCGGAAAACUUGUAGUUUCCCUCCUGUCGAAGGAGAGGGGGGAUGUAACGUUGUAAUUAUUCUAAGUUAGUCAGUACGAAUUUCCCUUGUUACGGCACUGGCGGGGGAGAAUGCGAUGUAACCUUCAAUUGUUAGUUUUGACGAUUGUGGGUUUCGGGAUUGGUACCUGCGCGAUUGGCGGGGCGAGGAAAAUUCGUGCGUGACUUACUUUCUUUUCGUUGCUCGUUUUGGGAAGACGCAAAAGUGUCGGUUGAAUAUUAGUUCGCUGGUGUAAUGUCGUAAAAGAUUGGUUUCCGUCAUCUAUUGAAGUAUUACCUUUCACGGAAUCAUCUUAUUAAACUAUGGAUUGAUAGUUUUUUUUUGGUUAAUCAAUAUCGUAGUGAACUCUUUUGAGAGGCUUUUAAACGAAUUACCAGCGAAACUAUUGACCGUAUCUUCCUGAUCGUUAUUAAUUAUCAUACAACGUCAAUCUUUCCAAUAGACCUUCUUUAAUAAGAGGGUCCUUGUAUCCCGUGUAAAUUUGCACAUUAACAUAUGUCACCGGAGGGACGUCCAUUUUGAAUUAUUACCAACAGAUGCCUUCAUCUGAAUACACAUUCAGCAGUAAUCAGCCGUUUGGAACCAUGAGAUAGAAUACAUGACCUAUAUCUGAGCUUAUCACCGUCGACACAAUUACUUAGCCUAUAUCAAUUAUCUGACCAGUUUUGGGGAAAUUUUCACUAUUUUAAAUUUAAUUGUAAUCGUAAUUCUGGUUAACGAUCUUUCGAUUAAUGCCUACAUAAUUGGCUCUGAUUAUUGUUUUUGCAUUUGAGAUCUCCUUCGGAGACAUGAUUUAAUAUUGGUUUGUCCUAUUACGAUCGUGGGAAGUACCGCAAGUGGUAAGCCCUCAGGCACCGUUAAGUACCUCACUGUAGCAUUUUUGAUUCACCGAGGCAUUCUCGGUUAAUUUGUCCUUUUAUUCUUUAUUAUAGCUACUAGGUUGAACAUUCCUGGGAUGAGCUCACUCCACGAAUGCCUUCGGAACUCCAGGUAAGAAUAAUACCUUCUCUUUAUAUACUUGUGUGUUCGCCACCUCGUUUUGGGGUUAAAGUUUUUGGGGGAAUUCAAUUUAGGGGAAGAGAUUAGUAAAUGUAUAUUAUUUUUAGUAGUGCAUAUUCAUGCGUUAAGAUUUUUUCUUGAAUUUGGUGUACCUUACUGAAUAAAUUUUUGAUUUUUGGGUGGUCAGGUA